AGAAAUGGAUAUUUGCAAGGAUAUAUUCUGCUACUCAUCAAUUCUACUCAAAUUUGGACCAAUGGUGAGAAACGAUAAUAUCUAAGUGACUCCUCUGUUUCUAUGUCCACUAGGAUGGUGAGGAAUGAGAAGAUGACCCUUGUGUUCUAUCUCCACAAGGAAAAGCCUUUAUUUUUUGCAAUUUACAUGCAAGUGAGUUGCUUUCUUCCAUGUAUAGGCUUAUUGAAAUAAUACAGAAAGAGGGAAUGCAAAUUCAGAUAUUUGCCAUUUUACAAAUCCAACAUUUAGGUUCUCCAUUGAUCAUGUUCUAUAGUACAAUAAUUUAUGCAACUUGAUUAACUUUGUUUAAUGCACUGUAAGUUAGGGUUUGUCCCUGUUUAUCUCCUUAAAGCCAGGGCUGUAGAGGAUUUUAUUAACCCUAUGAACCCAAACACUCCACAACACAAACUCAGAAACAGCGUUGACCCUAAACCCUACACACAAAGCCACCAAUUUUUAUCCCAAAAAAAUGAACAAAAGAUGCAUUUGUAUGUAGAUUUAACCCAAAAAGUGGAAAACCCAGAUGGAUGUACAUGUAAAUUAACCCUAUGAACCCAAACACUCCAAGCACAAACUCAGAAACAGCGUUGACCCCAAACCUAAAUACAAAGCCACCAAUUUUUAGCCCAAAAAAAAUGAACAAAAGAUGCAUUUGUAAGUAGAUUUAACCCCAAAAGUUGAAAACCCAGAUACAUGUACAUGUAAAUUAACCAAAAAGAAAACAAAAACAAGAAGCAUGUAGAUGUAAAUUAAGAAGCCCAAAUUAGCAACAACCAACCAUGAUUAAAAUUUGAUGGUAAACAGUAACAUAACAUCAGUAGUGAUUGAUUACACACCAAACAAAAACCCUUCUUUCUUGGAUCCCUGGUUUCACCCCACCAAAGGGUGUCGUAAAGCUUUUUCAGUGGUGUUAUUCAUGAGUCCUUGGAGGAAGGCGUGCCUUGAUCGGAGGACUUGGUGAUGGCGGCGGCGGUGGUGGUGGCGGGAGGAGGAGGUUCACGGCGGAAGCGGGUGGCCAAGAUGUUUAGGAGGCUGUAGAAGUGGUAGAAUAGCUGUGCACUAACCAGCACUACCAAGCAAAAAACGACGAAGUCCAUUUUGGAAGAAGAGGAACAAGAAUAUGCUUGGAUCGAUCGAAGACGAAUAUGAACAGAGGAAGAAGAUGUUUUAAUAUUGGGAAA
This 1220-nucleotide long non-coding RNA is filed under the name Phaseolus vulgaris (common bean). RNAcentral's name for it is "long non-coding RNA (PVUL_LNC000554)". Lineage: Eukaryota; Viridiplantae; Streptophyta; Magnoliopsida; Fabales; Fabaceae. The record is from RNAcentral.